GUUGGCCACAUGCUCCGUACGGCCCUAAAUCAGAGAACACAGUAGAGGUGAGUGAGAGGCCAGCUCGGUCUCAUAAAUAUCCUCUUGCUCCCGUCCCCUCCCCCACCCUGGGAUCCUGUUGGGACAAAUGUCUUGGCUCAGUGGGUUGAAAAGGAAAGUCAGAAUUCUGAGGCAUGAAUUGCUGUGCCCACUGACUCACUUCCUCCUCCCCACCCACUGCAGACCCAGCCGGGCCCUGAGUAACACAGGUUGCAGCCUUCUCCCUGCCCGUGCCCCUCAUCUGAGCACUCCACCCCCCAGCCCUCGCUGAGGACCUCACCCGUGAGUGGAAGGGCAGUGACGCCAGCUACCCCUGAUCUGAAAUGCGCUUGCAAGUUUUGGUGAGCUAGGGGGCAGGGGGUAGGGGUGGGGGACGGGAACAAAUUCUGCUCUCAGGACCCCGAGCCUGAUGUGCAAGGCAGAGCACCCCUCUGGAGUUUGACCUGGGAGGUACCAGAAAUUCCCCUCCUCAUAACGGGCGCUCUCCUUUCCUGCCAGGAUCACAGAAAUUCUCACCAUGAGGCAACCUUCCUGUUGCCCUAAGGCCUUGUCUCCCGAACGUUCUUAUUAAAAGGCAGGGAGCUCACCUGGCAGGGUAGCACGUGGGCUCCCUGGCAGGGAUGGGGCAGGAUGUUACAGCAUCUCCCACAGAGCCCAGGGCCCUGGGUUAUAAAUGAUUCAGGCAGCAGGAAGGUAGGGGGAGGGAGGGAAGAGGCCAGGGCUGGGACAGAGAAUGAUUUAAUGGAGGGGGGUGGCAGGCAGGCCCCUGGCACUGUCCUUACUGGUUCCCAGUUAGCAUGAUGGGCAGUGAAGAAGGGAUUUCACUUUCCUGCAAAACAGUGCCCCCGAGUCUUGGGCUUUUCCCUCUGGAGGUCCCUUCCCUGCCUUGUCCUGGGCUCCUCUGAUGGGAAGAAGAGUUGUAAGGGCUUGGGGGACGUCACGGCCACUCCUCAGUGGCAGAACUGCUCUGGGCAGCACUCCUGACCGUGGCUCGGAGGCGGAGCACGGGCACAGCCCAUCUGGACUGCCGAAUGAGAUGGAACUCAGGGGUACGGUGUGGGGGGUGGGGUGGGGGGAGACAACCAGAUGCGCACGGGGACACGGGCCCAGCGAGGGGCCACGGGCGGGGCAGCCGGGCAGCAAUCACAGAGGCUGCAAGGGACACGCUCAGGAAAGGCUUCGGCUUGCCGGCCUUGGAACUGAAGGCAACGGCUGGGUUCCCUCACCCCUGGGAGUGAGCCGAGAGCCUUUGCGGCUUCAAAAGACCGAUCCGGGGCGGAUGCAGGGAUGGACCCGAGAAAGGACGAGGACCUGCCCUGCUGCAGAGACGUACAUGGACGUGAGAGAUACGUGGGUGAGGGCGGGGGCAGGAGCCGGUGGCGCGUCGGUGCAGGGGAUGCGGGGAGAGGUCAGUAGCCAGUAGCUGGCGAGUCCGCGGGACCUCCGGGGCCUCCUAGGUGGAGGUGUGUUCGGCAAUCUGCCAGAGGCCCCGGGACAGGGGUGGAGGAAGACAAGGCCAGAGUCCGGGAGGGCCCCCCAAAGUGGCGCGCGCCAAACCUUCCGGCAGAGGGAAGAUCCUAGAGGCCUUUCCCCAGAAGCACUAGCCUCAGCUUGGAUGUCAACCGGGCUCCUUGGGGUCAGGCUUGGCCCGCAGCAGGCUCCCCUGAGAUAGUUCCCAGGGUCUCUCACCACCUGCACCCUGGACUCCAGGCCUCAGCUCCGUCCUUUCUUCCCUCUGGCCCCCUUCUUGUUCUAACUCUCUUGGUUACCACCCCAGAGGCCCCCGCUUCAUUCAUUCCCUGCCUGCCCUCUUCUCUGCCCCCACAGACACCCUUAGACGUCCGAACAAUGCACAGCUAUCCUUGCUGCCAGUGUGCCGGGCAGUGGAGCCCCUACCCCAACGCGCAUCAGCCUCUGACUCACCUUUAGUCAUCUCUGACCCUCAUUUCUUUGCAAAGAGGUGACGGUCAUGCCCAACUCUGGGAAUAGUUGGGACAUAACUGAGACCAUACCUGAGGCGCACCUGGCGUGGGACCACCCCCUGUGCCCUUCCCUUCUCUUCCCUUGGACAAUCAUUACCUGGCCCCAGGGCUUUACUACCCUGACCCUAUUCAAAACUAACCUUAGACGACUCGCUGCUCAGCCCGGGGCUUGAGGUUCCUCCACGACCACCUGCUUCCCUUUGGUCCUUGCACCCCCCACUCCCAUCCUUUCCCCCUGGCUCCAGCCCGUGGGGGAGGGAGAUCAUCCCCCAAAUCCGGCUCGCCCCUUUCUCGAGACCUUUGCCCGGAGUGCCUGAAAGCGACAUGCCAGCAUCUUCCUGCCCAUCGACAGCUCCCCUUCCAUCAAGGCCAGUCGAGGCCCAGUCCCAGCUCCCCGGGCCUCAACGGAUGUUUUCUGCUCUGGCACAGCCCUGUUUUUCCCUCGGAUAGAGCGCUCGCCAUAUUGGGCCAUAUGUCACUUAUUAGCUGGGGCGAAGUUGCUUAAGCUCUCUGUGACUCAGUCUCUCUGUCUGCACUGGAGCUAAUAACUGCACUCUAACCCUAGAGUCGUUGCGGAGAGUAGAUAGGAACGUGCACAGGGCCCGCCGCAGAGUAAAUAGGCCAAUAAAUGUUUUUUUUUUUUUUUUAUUGAGAUGGUGGGGGUGGGUGACGACAGGGCUCCCAACAGCCCUGACUCUCAGAGAAGGCAAGCCCAGGCCGCCCCCCUCUCUCUCCACCCUGCCCAUAGCUCCUACGACACUGCUCUGCUGGGAGUGGAGGUCAGUGAUAUGCCUCAGAUUGAAGCUUCUCUGGCCCAUCAAACAAAUCGCAGUGCUCCUUUGUGGGUUCCCUUCGGCUCCAUUCACUGCGGUGCGUGGAUGUUUCUGUGCCUGGGAAAUGGACCCCCAAGAGCUAGUGGAGUUAUCAGCCCCUGGGGAACCCCCAUCACAGAGGAGCCUGGCUGACCUUCCCCGGGGCUCAGAGUGGGACUCCAACACAGAGAUGGGGACCAGUGGAGAGUGGGCAUCCUGGAAUUCUUCCUGGAGGAGGAAAAUGGGGAGAGCUAGGCUGAGAAAAGGGGUGACAGGUUUCACGGGGAGUCUCACUGCGCCAAGCUCUUUAUGUAGAUUGCGACCUUUAUUUUUCAGGAGGAGCCUGUGAGGUCAGAAGGAAGAAUCUGCUUCCAGAAGGAAGCAAAGGCCCGGACUGACAAAGCGACAUGCCCAAGGUCACACCAUUCCAGAGGGGAGCAGGAUUCUAGUCCUGAUCUGCUGGGCUCUGAGGGGAGGGCCAGGCCGAGGAUGGUGGGAGAAUUCCAGACUCUGGUCAGCUGCCCCUGCAUUCAGGGAGGCUCUGGGUGGGGUGGAAACAGCCACCAGAAGCCAGGGGCACGCGGCAAACAAGGGUGCCAGGAAAUGAACCGGACCCAGGGUCCUUCCUCCCGGCCCGCCCUGUGCCCCUGGCCAACUGCCACCUCCCUUUGAGGCUUCUCCCUGUAAGA
Molecule: long non-coding RNA, 3522 nt
Filed under: Lynx pardinus (Iberian lynx)
Lineage: Eukaryota; Metazoa; Chordata; Mammalia; Carnivora; Felidae
Source: RNAcentral